This 468-nucleotide ribosomal RNA is filed under the name uncultured bacterium. Its description in RNAcentral is "partial 16S ribosomal RNA". It matches the Rfam family "Bacterial small subunit ribosomal RNA", at positions 28 to 507 of the family's 1533-position model. The record is from RNAcentral.
GACGAACGCUGGCGGCGUGCUUAACACAUGCAAGUCGAACGGAAAGGCCCUGCUUUUGUGGGGUGCUCGAGUGGCGAACGGGUGAGUAACACGUGAGUAACCUGCCCUUGACUUUGGGAUAACUUCAGGAAACUGGGGCUAAUACCGGAUAGGAGCUCCUGCUGCAUGGUGGGGGUUGGAAAGUUUCGGCGGUUGGGGAUGGACUCGCGGCUUAUUAGCUUGUUGGUGGGGUAGUUGCUUACCAAGGCUUUGACGGGUAGCCGGCCUGAGAGGGUGACCGGCCACAUUGGGACUGAGAUACGGCCCAGACUCCUACGGGAGGCAGAAGUGGGGAAUAUUGCACAAUGGGCGGAAGCCUGAUGCAGCAACGCCGCGUGCGGGAUGACGGCCUUCGGGUUGUAAACCGCUUUCGCCUGUGACGAAGCGUGAGUGACGGUAAUGGGUAAAGAAGCACCGGCUAACUACGUG